CGGCGGACGGGUGAGUAAUGUCUGGGAAACUGCCUGAUGGAGGGGGAUAACUACUGGAAACGGUAGCUAAUACCGCAUAACGUCGCAAGACCAAAGUGGGGGACCUUCGGGCCUCAUGCCAUCAGAUGUGCCCAGAUGGGAUUAGCUGGUAGGUGGGGUAACGGCUCACCUAGGCGACGAUCCCUAGCUGGUCUGAGAGGAUGACCAGCCACACUGGAACUGAGACACGGUCCAGACUCCUACGGGAGGCAGCAGUGGGGAAUAUUGCACAAUGGGCGCAAGCCUGAUGCAGCCAUGCCGCGUGUGUGAAGAAGGCCUUCGGGUUGUAAAGCACUUUCAGCGGGGAGGAAGGCGGUGAGGUUAAUAACCUCACCGAUUGACGUUACCCGCAGAAGAAGCACCGGCUAACUCCGUGCCAGCAGCCGCGGUAAUACGGAGGGUGCAAGCGUUAAUCGGAAUUACUGGGCGUAAAGCGCACGCAGGCGGUCUGUCAAGUCGGAUGUGAAAUCCCCGGGCUCAACCUCGGAACUGCAUUCGAAACUGGCAGGCUAGAGUCUUGUAGAGGGGGGUAGAAUUCCAGGUGUAGCGGUGAAAUGCGUAGAGAUCUGGAGGAAUACCGGUGGCGAACGCGCCCCCUGGACAAAGACUGACGCUCAAGGUGCGAAAGCGUGGGGAGCAAA
Molecule: ribosomal RNA, 680 nt
Filed under: Klebsiella variicola
Lineage: Bacteria; Pseudomonadati; Pseudomonadota; Gammaproteobacteria; Enterobacterales; Enterobacteriaceae
Description: bacterial SSU rRNA
Rfam family: Bacterial small subunit ribosomal RNA
Source: RNAcentral